GUCUUUAUCUGUUAUUUGUAAAUUGGGAAAUUUGACAUUAUGAAUGUUGGUAUUGUUUUAUAAAUAAAUAACUGUAAUUUUUUUUUUUUGGGGGAUAAAUUUUAGGUGUGCUGUUCGGGUCAUGGAAAGAAUGGUUCGCUCUGUGUUCUUCGUCAGUCAAUUCGUCCAGAAAUGAUUAAGAGAUCGAUGUGUGGUUCCUGUUUCUGGUUUUUCCUUUGCUGAGUUUUUUUGUUUAGAAUUUUUCUGCCUAUAGACCAUUGAAGUAUCUGAUAUUGUAGGGUCUUCAUUCAUGUUAUUUUGGCAUCCUAUAGCAGAAAAUGAUGCAAAAAAUGAAGAGGCUGAUAUUGAGGAGCUCAUCAAAGCAGUUGCAGAUCAGGUGGCAAAGUAAUUAUAAGUGGAACAGCAGUUGGAGAGAUGGGCACUACAUAUCUUUAAGCGUCACAGCUGGUAUCAAUUUCUAAUGUUUUUCUCUGUAAGUGAAAAAGUAAGUUAGUCUCUUUAUCUAUCUCUCUGUCUUUUCUAUAUCAAUGUAGUCACUAUAUUAUGAGCAAGGAUAAACAGCGUGGUUAAAGAAUUGGAUUGGUGGGUUCUGCUAGGCCUCAUUGAUAAGUGGGCUGGUGUUAAGGUAAGGUAUGCCUUGAUUGAUUUUUGUGAUCGUUACUUAUUGAACGUCUUUAUAUGCGGAUGAUUUUAUUUUAUAUGGAAGAGUAUUGCAGUGAUCUAAUGAUUUUAGAUGUCAAUGAUUAGUGAAAGAAGAAAGUUGUCCUCUGAACUAUAUUAGUGGUGGCUUAUCAUUGAUUUGGCUGGAAGUUGGACUUUUUCCCCUUCAUUUCCAAGAUGGAAAGAUAGGCAGUAAUAUUUGCACUUAUGAUGUGUUCUUUGCUGGUUGAUUUAAUGUCAGUGGGUAAUUUUCUUAUGGAUAGGUUCUCCAGCAAUAACAGUGGCAAAUCCAACUGAUCUUGUAAAAGUUAGACUUCAAGCUGACAGAAAAUUGCCACUACGCACACCAAGUAUGUAAGGAUUUGGGGGACAAAUUGCAUUUGCUGGACAAUGCUAGUGGUACAAUCGUGUGUAAGGAUUUGAAAUAAUAAAAGCAUGUUUGAAGAGUGUUAUUAACUUGUUCUUGUCAAACAAGUUUGGAAGAGCAUCAUUACACAAGAAGUAUGUGCAGGAGUAUCAGUAAUUUUUCUUGUGCAGGAGUAUCAGUAAUUUUUCUUGUCCUAGCAUCAUUCACAUGCAGCAUACGUGCAUGUUUUUGGAACAAUGAUAUUGUAUCAGCUUUUGCUAUCUUUCAGUGUAAUUAGCUAGAAUGCCUUCUUUUUUGGUUU
Long non-coding RNA from Rosa rugosa (rugosa rose), 1328 nucleotides. RefSeq lists it as uncharacterized. NCBI's taxonomy places the organism in Eukaryota, Viridiplantae, Streptophyta, Magnoliopsida, Rosales, Rosaceae. The record is from RefSeq and is a predicted model, not a curated record. The transcript is spliced from 2 exons.